GUUUUUCUAGAGGCAUCUUAUCUUUAGUGUCAGCUAGAGGAGCAUCUGUUUCCUCACUUGUGGGCUUGUCCUCAGCAGUUAGGUCCUUGCAGAGGACCUGGAGCCUGCGGGCAGGGCUGCAGCCAGAGCCUAAGACCCAGGACGGAGUCAGAUCACAGGCACUAGGGGUGGAGGUCACGUCGGGCAGAGUCAGAUCACAGGCACUAGGGGUGGAGGUCAUGUCGGGCAGAGUCAGAUCGCAGGCACUAGGGGUGGAGGUCACGUCGGGCAGAGUCAGAUCGCAGGCACUAGGGGUGGAGGUCACGUCGGGCAGAGUCAGAUCACAGGCACUAGGGGUGGAGGUCACGUCGGGCAGAGUCAGAUCACAGGCACUAGGGGUGGAGGUCACGUCGGGCAGAGUCAGAUCGCAGGCACUAGGGGUGGAGGUCACGUCGGGCAGAGUCAGAUCGCAGGCACUAGGGGUGGAGGUCACGUCGGGCAGAGUCAGAUCGCAGGCACUAGGGGUGGAGGUCAUGUCGGGCAGUCAGAUCGCAGGCACUAGGGGUGGAGGUCACGUCGGGCCGAGUGCGCUGCAGUCAGAAGAGGAGCUGUGUCCCGCAUACGGUGAUUGUAAGCCAGGUCCAUGCCACCAAGAGCUGGAGCUGUGGAGUAGUACUUGGUCCCCA
Molecule: long non-coding RNA, 665 nt
Filed under: Homo sapiens (human)
Lineage: Eukaryota; Metazoa; Chordata; Mammalia; Primates; Hominidae
Description: non-protein coding ZDHHC20-IT1:2
Source: RNAcentral